RNAcentral lists this ribosomal RNA (324 nucleotides) under uncultured eukaryote. RNAcentral's name for it is "partial 18S ribosomal RNA". It matches the Rfam family "Eukaryotic small subunit ribosomal RNA", at positions 1470 to 1796 of the family's 1831-position model. The record is from RNAcentral.
CCCUUAGACGUUCUGGGCCGCACGCGCGCUACACUGACCAGUGCAACAAGCAUCCGUCCUUGGCCGACAGGCCCGGGCAAUCUUUGAACGCUGGUCGUGAUGGGGAUAGACUUUUGCAAUUUUUGGUCUUCAACGAGGAAUUCCUAGUAAACGCAAGUCAUCAGCUUGCAUUGAUUACGUCCCUGCCCUUUGUACACACCGCCCGUCGCACCUACCGAUUGAAUGGUCCGGUGAAAUCUCCGGACUGGCGUGAGUCGGAGCAAUCUGACAAACACCGGAAAGUUGAUUAAACCUUACCAUUUAGAGGAAGGUGAANUCGUANCA